This is a long non-coding RNA of Trifolium pratense (red clover), 495 nucleotides long. RefSeq lists it as uncharacterized. The transcript has 4 exons. The record is from RefSeq and is a predicted model, not a curated record. Lineage: Eukaryota; Viridiplantae; Streptophyta; Magnoliopsida; Fabales; Fabaceae.
UAACUGAUUUCAUAUGAUCAACUGUAUAUUGUUAUCUAACUUUUCUUAGUUUCAUAGCAAUCAUGAAACUAAUUAUACUUAUAAGUCCCUUCUAAUUCUAUACUUAUCUGUUGAUCGCCAGGAAAACUAUCUACAAUUCCCAUGUUUUGGUUCCUUCAAUUUUGGGGCUUGUAUGUGUAAUUAUCAAAUCAAGGAUUGUUGGAUACAAAAAUGGAAGCCUAAGAGCAAGAUUCAAGGUGUGGGUUUGGAAGAAACAACCAAAGUGAAGGGAUUGAUAACCAAGGUUUUGGGUUAGUAAUGAGGAAUGGAGAUGUGUUUUAAGAUAGGGUCCUGAUGCUGUAGAAUUACAGAAUUUUUGGCAGCGGGUUUGGCAUGCUUGAGCCGCUCAAACAGAUGCAUAAAGGUGUAAAGAAUAGCUUGGAGCUGCUGGAAAUUCACAGAUAGAAGAUUUUAUUGCUUCUUUCAUGUUUCUGCUUGCAAUUUGAGAAAGGGGGA